This 3452-nucleotide unclassified non-coding RNA is filed under the name Homalodisca vitripennis (glassy-winged sharpshooter). RNAcentral's name for it is "ankyrin-3-like, transcript variant X7". Lineage: Eukaryota; Metazoa; Arthropoda; Insecta; Hemiptera; Cicadellidae. The record is from RNAcentral.
CGAUAAUAUCGCAACAUCCCUAACGGUGGUAGGGAUGGAGAGGAAUAAGUAAAUAACGUAUUUGAUUUGUUUGAGUAAGGUUUGGAAUGAAGUAAUAAUGAUGUGUUUAACAAACUUCCAACCCAAUUUUGAAGUAUUUCAAAGUGAAAGUCUACAUUGUUGUUAAUAUAUCUUCGGUUGUUUGAUUGAAUCAAUGCAAUGGCUUUUGACUACAAUGAUGCUGUUUUCACAACACCUCUUAUCAGAGCAAUUUAUAACCACAAUGUGGAAGGUGUAAGGGAAGCAUUGGACCGGGGGUUUAGCGCAAACUUGCCUGACAAUCGAGGAUGGACACCUCUCCAUGAAGCUGCCAGCAAAGAUGCUUCCAGUGAGUGUUUAAAGGAACUAUUGGCACACAGUUCUGCUGUUGUAAACUCACAAACAUUUGAAGGAAACACUCCACUAUUUCUUGCGUGCCAGAAUGGCUGUCUGAAUGCUGUGAAUCUAUUGUUAAAACAGUCAAAGUGUGAUGUGAACCUUGCCAACAUUGAAGAAGUUCCUCCUCUGAAUGUGGCUUGUAGUAAAGGAAACUUCAAAAUUGUGCAACUUCUUGUGGAAUUUGGAGCGAAAGUAAAUGCUCAGGAUUUCAAUGGUUAUACAGCUCUUCAUGAAGCAGUUCUUCAUCCCACCUCUAGAAGGGGAGUUCGAGAGCAACAAGAUGAAAUAAGACAUGAAAUUUGUCGUUUUCUUCUGAGGCACAAUGCUAAUCCUGAUGUUUUAGAAGACGAAGGAAACUUUCCUUUCCAUUUUGCAUGCCAAAGUGGUCUUUUAAAAACAUUGACCCUGUUAUUUACCUCCUCUAAACAACAUCAUUUGAUCAAUUUUCGCAACAAGGAUGGACGUACUCCUCUAAUGUUGGCUGUUCAAUCUCAUAACAUAUCAGUUGUUCAAGCGUUAUUAUCACAAGGGGCAAAUGCUAAUGUUGCAGAUAAUUCCAAUGUUACACCUCUUCAUCUUGCAGCUCACUCAGCAAAUUUUGACAUAUUUAAUUCACUACACAGCGUAACCAGUAAUGAAUUUAUUUUAAAGUACUGCACAGUCGAUGAGGAGAGAGAUUUUGAAGUAAUAUUCAACAAGAAAAGAAUUAAUAGUUUGAUAUGUCUUGCUAUUGACACGGAAGAUUUAUCAUUUUUAGUUAAGGUAUUGGAAUCAAAUUUUGAUCCAGCUGUUUUACAAUGUCCUGUGAUUCAUGCCGAGAACUUGGUAAAGAAAAGCUUUACAUUGCAUACACCCAUAUCGUUUUUGCUUGAAAGCAAGAUGUACGAUUUAGGUGAAAAGACCCUAGAAUUCUUAUUAGCAUUGAUUAAUCAUGGAAGUCAGUUAAGAGUGGUAAGUAAAAUUAGUUCAAUCAGCUACGUAGAUCCGAUAUGCGCCAGCUUAGUUGCUUUAAAUGAUUGUCCUGUGAGCACUGUUGUGAGAUGUAUAAGGAUGUUGUUGCAACAUGGAGCUGAUCCUGAUGAACCUCACGGUAGAAUGCCACAUGCUAUGGAGCAAGCUUGUAUGAGAGGUUGUGCUGAGGCAGUACUGCUCUUAAUUCAGUAUUCCAAUGUACUAGAACCAGAAGACGUAAUCAGAUGGAUUGAACAAGAAACUUCUACUGAACAACAAGAAAUUGUAAAAGUUCUUUUACCACUAGCGCCUUAUUAUACUCCCUCUGAUAGACUCUUACCUGAUUUGGUGGGUAGUCCUCAAAGAAAGGCUUUAUUAGCACCAAAAGUGUAUCCUUUAACCAACUAUUGUAGGACUGUUAUAAGACGACAAGUUCGUGAAGAAUCUAAGACAUCCUUGUCUAAAUUCAGACAAAACCUCUUUGAUUUGUUUCUACCAAAAGACCUGUGUAUGUUUCUUAGUUAUAUGUAAAUUCUUUUCAAACUAUCUCAUUCCUACGAAUGUAUUUGUAAAAACAUUGAUGCAAUAGAAGUUUAGUAUACUAGUUUCGUACAUACAAUAUGUCUAGACUUACCAUAUAAUGUUUUAUAUGGUAAUAAUGCUAAUAAAAUGUUUAUAAACCGUUUUAAUAUAAGGUUAAUUUUAUUUCUUUGGAAUCAUGCUAUUUUGGUUGUGUAUUUAUUACAUGUGUAAAGGAAGUUAUAUUUAUUUUGUACAUGUUUACAAUUCAAAAAAGUAAAAUUGUGUAACAUAAUAUAACUUAGGAAACAUAAUAUGUUAUAUUUAUUUUGUACAUGUUUACAAUUCAAAAAAGUAAAAUUGUGUAACAUAAUAUAACUUAAUAAAUGUAAAGAUAAAUCGAAUGUAUUUAAAUAAUAUUUCUUUCACAAUUAAAAAUUACACCUAAUUCUUUUGAUAGUUAUUUAAAAUACCAUAGGAAUAUAUUUUUGACUAUAUCACAACUUAGGGUAAUUUCAAGUUGAAAAAUAUAAUACACCACUAAGGUGUAAAAUGAAGCCUAAUGAGGUAAAUGUCUGUCUUUUGUGUAAUGGACAAUAUUGGAAAAUUAAUGCUAACAAAUAUUUCGCAGUAAAUUAUAGUUUAUUUUAAUUGGUGUCUUUAGUAAGGUUAUUAUUAAGAGGAACUAAAGAUCUGUACCUGCUAAUAAAAAAAAAAAAAUAAAGAACUUACCUUAUAGUCUUUGUCUUGUUCUAGUUGUGUAACAUUUAUGUAACCUGUUAAUUAUUAUGACCAGAUUGGAUUUAUAGCUAUAUCUUUAAUAUAUUCCAGUAGAUUUUAAAAGGAGAUAAAAUGCAUAAUUGCUCUGAGCUGGUUAGAAGCAUAUUCAAAAAUGUUAAAGCAACCCUUCCUUAUUUUUUUACUUAAUAGCUUAAAUGAACUUAUGUGACAAAUCGUAGUCAGAAAAUAGGUGGAGUUCGGCAGGAGUUGAAAAUGGAGUAUCUCAGUCCUUUUAACUUGGACUGCUUCUCAAUCUAUGGAAAAUAGCUAAACUAACAGGAAUAUAUUAUUAACUAUAUUACAACUCAGGGUUAUUUUAAUUUGAAAAAUUUAAUAACCAAAGAGGUGUAAAAUUCAGCUUAAUGAGGUAUAACUGACAAUAUUGGAAAACCAACAAAUAUUUCACAGUAAAUUAUAGAUCAUUUCAAUUUGUUUUAGUUUGUUUGCUUAUUUAAAAUCAAAAACCUCUUUGAUUUGUUUCUACUAAAAGACCUUUGUAUGUUCCUUAGUUAUAUGUAAUUUUUUUUAAAUAUCUAAAUUCUUUACGAAUGUAUUUGUAAAAACGUUGAUGCAAUAGAAGUGUACUAUACGAGUCUCGUACUUAAAUAUCUAGACUUGCCAUUAUGUUUAUAAACCAUUUUGAUGUAAGAGUUAAUUAUUUUAUUUGUUUGGAAUAAUACUAUUUUAGUCGUGUAUGUUAGUGUCUUAAGUAAAGUUAUUAUUAGAGGAACUAAAGAUUUUUUGUAUCGGCUAAUAAAAUAAAAAUAAAUAAAGUACUGACCUUA